AGGCAGCAGUGGGGGAUAUUGCACAAUGGGGGGGAACCCUGAUGCAGCGACGCCGCGUGGGUGAAGAAGCGCCUCGGCGCGUAAAGCCCUGUCAGCAGGGAAGAAAAUGACGGUACCUGAAGAAGAAGCCCCGGCUAACUACGUGCC
This 147-nucleotide ribosomal RNA is filed under the name uncultured bacterium. RNAcentral's name for it is "partial 16S ribosomal RNA". It matches the Rfam family "Bacterial small subunit ribosomal RNA", at positions 346 to 509 of the family's 1533-position model. The record is from RNAcentral.